Molecule: long non-coding RNA, 3803 nt
Filed under: Homo sapiens (human)
Lineage: Eukaryota; Metazoa; Chordata; Mammalia; Primates; Hominidae
Description: HSALNT0394299
Source: RNAcentral
GAGAGAAUUUUGAGGGCUAGCCAUCUCUCGGUCGCCAGCUAAUAAAGGACUCCUGAAUUAAUCUCAAAGUGUAGCGUUUCUCCAUAACUCGCUUGGUUACAACAUUUGGAGGCCCCAACGAGAUAUUCACCUCUGGGUGAGAGCUGGACUCAUUCCAGGCUCCCCCGGACAGACGGCGGACUUAUAGGGGAGGUGCCACCUGAAGACAUUCCAGGGCCCCAUAAGACCCCGUCUUCCGGAGGGGAAUGGAUCGACCACCAGUGUGUGCCCACAAAAAUUCAACUCCUGAUCCUCAGUUUCUGGUCCCGGGAAGGUCCUCAAUCUCCCCGCAGCAGAGGAAUCUGAUGAUUAAAAGGGCCGGGGCUCCCUCUCUCUUGGCCCCCGGAAGCCCAUGGAGACCGUCACAGCGGAGGGCCAUGGUGAUGCCCAGGCAUCUAUUUGUCUAAAAGACUGGACCCAGUGGCCUCCAGGUGGACAAGUUGUCUGUGGGCCAUAGCAGCCACAGCAAGCCUGAUUCAGGAGACUGAUAAACUGACUCUAAGUCAAAAUUUAACUCUUACGGCUCCUCGUGCCAUAGAGACUUUGCUGCAAAGUGCUUCUGGCAAAUGGAUGUCAAAUGCUCGCAUCCUGCAGUAUCAGAGUUUUACUGUUAGAUUGGCCUCGUUUAACUUUCUCUCCCACAAGGUGUUUAAAUCCAGCUACUUUGCUCCCUGAUCCAGACUUCACCACACCUGUCCAUGACUGCCAGGAACUGUGAGAGACUACAGAAACUGUCCGACCUGAUCUCCAAGAUGUGCCUUUAAAGGAGGUGGAUGCUACCGUGUUUACAGACAGUAGCAGCCUCCUUAAACAAGGAGUACGAAAGGCUGGUGCGGCUGUUACUAUGGAGACGGAUAAACUGCAGACUCAGGCAUUGCCAGCAGGUACCUCAGCACAAAAAGCUGAAUUGGUUGCUCUCAUUCAGGCCCUCCGACGGGUAAGGACAAAUGUAUUAACAUUUACACUGACAGCAGGUAUGCUUUUUGCUACUGUGCGUGUACAUGGAGCCAUCUACCAAGUGCGUGGGCUACUCACCUCAGCAGGAAAGGCUAUCAAAAACUAAGAAGAAAUUUUGGCCCUGCUUGAAGCUGUUUGCCUACCUCAACAGGUGGCUGUAAUUCACUGCAAAGGACAUCAAAAAGAAGACACGGCCGUUGCCCAUGGUAACCAAAGAGCAGACUCUGCAGCCUGGGGGCCAGCUCAACUGCCAGUCGCGCCUCCGACCCUGCUGCCUGCAGUGUCCUUUCCGCAACCUGACUUGUCAGAUCACCCAGAAUAUUCCCCAGAGGAGGAAAAACAGGCUUCGGAUCUUCAGGCCAGUAAAAAUCAGGAAGGAGGAGUAAAACUGGCCCAGCUUCUAAGGAGCCGUUUCAAGAUCCCCAACCUUCAGGACUUAGUUAACCAAGCAGCUCUCUGGUGUACGGCUUGUGCCCAGGUAAACACUAAGCAAGGUCCUAAACCCAGCUCAGGCGACCGCCUCCAGGGAGACUCACCAGGAGAAAGGUGGGAAAUUACAGAAAUAAAACCACACUGGGCAGGGUACAAAUACCUUCAGGUACUAGUAGACACCUUUUCUGGAUAGACUGAGGCAUUUGCCACCAAAAACGAGACUGCCACCACGGUAGUUAAGUUUUCACUCAAUGAAAUCAUCCCUCAACAUGGGCUGCCUGCUGCCAUGGGGUCUGAUAAUAGAUCGGCCUUCACCUCGUCCAUAGCUCAGUCAGUCAGUAAGGCAUUAAACAUUCAAUGGAAGCUCAGUUGUGCCUAUCGACCCCAGAGCUCUGGAUGGGUAGAACACAUGAAUCACACCCUAAAAAAUACUCUUACAAAAUUGAUCUUAGAGACCGGUAAAAAUUAGGUAAGACUCCUUCCUUUAACCCUUCUUAAAGUAAGAUGCAUUCCUUACCGGGCUGGGUUUUCACCUUUUGAAAUCACAUAUAGGAGGGCUCCGCCUAUCUUGCCUAAGCUAAAGGAUACCCGUUUAGCAGAAAUCUCACAAGCUAAUUUAUUACAGUACCUACAGUCUCUCCAACAGGUACGAGAUAUCAUCCGCCACUUGUCUGGGGAGCUCAUCCCAGUCCAGUUCCUGACCAGACGGGGCCCUGCCACUCGUUCCCACCGGGUGACCUGGUGUUAAAAAGUUCCAGGUUAAAGUUUAAAAAAAAAAAAAAAGUUCCAGAAAGAAGGACUCACUCCUGCUUAGAAAGGACCUCAUACUGUCAUCCUCACCAUGCCGACAGCUCUGGAAGUGGCCAGCAUUCCUGCUUAGAUUCAUCACUCACAUCAAAAAGGCCAACAGAGCCCAACAAGAAACAUAGGUCCCCAAGCAUAGGCCAGGCCCCUUAAAACUGUGCCUAAGUCGAGUGAAGCCUUUAGAUUAAUUCUUUUUAUUUAUCUCUCUUGUUUAUUUCCACCUGUUAUGCCCUCCGUGCCUUCCUAUUCUUCUCACUUCUUUCACGACAGGACGUGUAUUUGCAAACACUACUUGGAAGGCAAGAACCUCCAAGAAAGUCUCUUUUGCAGUCGAUUUAUGUGCUUUGUUCCCAGAGCCUGCCCAUAACCUUGAAGAACAAUGCAACCUGCCGCAUAGAAGCGGGGAACAUCAACCUUGCUACAGGGUUCGGACACACAGGAAGCCGGACUGGAUGUAAAAACUCUAAAAGUGAAAAAAAAAGGACUCCAGAGCAUUGACUUUUACCUCUGUCCUAAAAAUCACCCUGACUCUAGUUGUCACGAUUCUUACCAAUUUUUCUGCCCUCACUGGUUUUGUGUGACCCUAGCCACUUACCCUAGAGGAUCACCUGGUCCUCAACCCUCUCCAUAACUCACACUUCCCAUCCUAGACUGUGUACUAUGAAAAAUUGUAACCCUCUUACUAUAACUGUCUGUAACCCUGGUUCAGCUCAAUGGUAUUGUGACCUGUCAUAGAGAUUAAGGCUUUAUAUCUCGAGAUUUAAUGUUAAAACUAUGUUCACCAUCCAAAAAAUCUAGAUAAACGCCAGCAAAAAUAGGAAAAUAGCACCCCUUGGUACCAAAGUAUGUUUAACUAGAAUCCAUGGCUGACUACUUUAAUCACUAGGCUAGCUAGCCCCCUUCUCCUCCUACUGUUAGGCUUAGUCUUCAGGCUGUGUAUAUUAAAUUGGUUUCUUAACUUUAUAAAGCAACGCAUAGCUUCUGUCAAGCUUAUAUAUCUUAAAACCCAAUAUAACACCCUUGUUAUAACUGAGGAAUCAAUGAUUUGAUUCCCCAAAAACACAAGUGGGGAAUGUAUUACCUUACCUUGUUUUAAUAUGAAUAGACCCUCCCUUAGCUGAGAAAGCUGGACGGACUCCAUUUGGCUCCUUCAUUUGCAAGACAUCAAGGGCUCCUUACCCACCCCCUUCCUCAAGGACUUAACUUGUACAAGCUGACUCCCAGCACAUCAAAGAGUGCAAUUAACCAAUAAGGUACUGUGGCAAGUUAUGUCCACAGUUCCCAGAAAUUCACCCAGGUGAUAGUACCCUAAGCCCCCGCGUUUGUGUCUGGUAGAUAGCACCCAAAGCCCUCGCACCUAUUACCUUGUGAUGGAUUUAAAGCCCCUGCACCUGGAACUGUUUGUUUUCCUGUAACCAUUUGUCUUUUCAACUUUUUUUGCCUGUUUUACUUCUGUAAGAUUGCUACAGCUAGGCUUCCCCUCCCCCCUCUAAACCAAAGUAUAAAAGAAAAUCUAGCCCCUUCUUCGGGGCUGAGAGAAUUUUGAGGGCUGGCCGUCUCUCAGUCGCCAG